ACGAACGCUGGCGGCGUGCUUAACACAUGCAAGUCGAACGGAAAGGCCCUGCUUUGUGGGGUGCUCGAGUGGCGAACGGGUGAGUAACACGUGAGUAACCUGCCCUUGACUUUGGGAUAACUUCAGGAAGCUGGGGCUAAUACCGGAUAGGAGCUCCUGCUGCAUGGUGGGGGUUGGAAAGUUUCGGCGGUUGGGGAUGGACUCGCGGCUUAUCAGCUUGUUGGUGGGGUAGUGGCUUACCAAGGCUUUGACGGGUAGCCGGCCUGAGAGGGUGACCGGCCACAUUGGGACUGAGAUACGGCCCAGACUCCUACGGGAGGCAGCAGUGGGGAAUAUUGCACAAUGGGCGGAAGCCUGAUGCAAGCAACGCCGCGUGCGGGAUGACGGCCUUCGGGUUGUAAACCGCUUUCGCCUGUGACGAAGCGUGAGUGACGGUAAUGGGUAAAGAAGCACCGGCUAACUACGUGCCAGCCGCAGC
This 478-nucleotide ribosomal RNA is filed under the name uncultured bacterium. RNAcentral describes it as "bacterial SSU rRNA". It matches the Rfam family "Bacterial small subunit ribosomal RNA", at positions 29 to 518 of the family's 1533-position model. The record is from RNAcentral.